UAAUAUAGAACAUGAGGAAAGACCAAAUAUAACACCAUUUCAGCAAGCAAAUGCAGAACAUGAAUUAGGGAGCGAACUUGAGGAAAUGCAAAUGAUGGAAAUUAUUCAAAAAUAUAUAAGAGGAUGAACGUCAAAUGAAAGGCAAAUCUGCUGGAAAAAGGGAGCCUUUGCAAUAGUUUUUGGAAGGUUAUUAGUGAACAUUAAGGAUCAAGUACAACGCAACCCAUGAAGAUCUUUUCUAGGAAUUUGGAAGGUUCAGAGGACCAAACAGGUGGAGGUUUUUAUCAGCUUAUAAAUAAGUUGAAAUAUGAUUUCCAUUAUUUCUUCAGAAUAAUCUUCUGAUAUAACACCACAAAGUGAAAUAAGACCGCUUGGAAUAAAAAUAAGGCAAAAACAAUGGUGAAGAACCAGCAUUAUGCUAUGGGCAGUAAGAUAGUCUGCUAUAAAAUUACUACUGCAAUAACAUUAACUUGCCUAACUAACAAUAGAAACUAAACCAAGUUUGCUACUACAACAAUAAUGACUUCAUCAUACUAAGAAACAAAAAUGAUUUGUUUUUGACACACGUGAUUCUUAUUUGAAAAUAAACAAACUUGGUUUUCUAAUGAUUUUACAUGGACUUGAAUUUUUCUAUUAUCAACAUCUUCCUUACCUUUGGCAGAUGGUUAUAUAUUUCCUUUGGAAAGUUUUGGUUAUGUCAUGACUUUCUCGUAGCAACCUCAUUCUUUCAUUUUAUGAAGAAAAUAUACUUAUGAUUUGCAGAAAAAAUUACACAUGCUAAAGACAAAACAACCUUUGAAAUCAAUUCAUUAGUUCACAAAACUAUAAACAGAUACAAACAAAAUGAAAAUUUCUAAUCUUCAACACCAGAGCCUCUAGCAUUUUGUUCCAAUCAAAAAUUUAAGCGGAUAAAGUGAGAUUUUUUGACACCUUGGUAGGAUUCAUGUAGCCAACCUCAGCUAGUUUGGUAUUAAGGUGUUGAGUUGAGUUGAGUUGCAGACAAGGCAACUGCCUUAAGAUUUGGCAUAUUUCUAGGUAAAUGUCUAACCACUUACAUGUUCCUAAAAUCUGAAAAAGCUGGAAAUUUCCUUAUUCUUUGAAGAGUCACUUACCUAGCACAUUAUAUCAUGAUUUCUUGUUUAAGCCAUUAUUGUUCAUCCCUUCCCUUGCAAGCCAUCCCACUUGCACAUUUGCUGCUCAUAAUAUCAGGGCAAUAUGAAAUUUGUGAUAGAAGAUUAGGAUGUCCAGGAUACAGAGAAAUCGAUUGAAGAAAACUCCACUCUUGAUUUGGGAGUUUCUAGAUCAUAGGCGUGCCUGUUUUCAGACUGCACAGCCAGUUCCUCCGCAUUAGUUAAAAGAACGUUUGGUUUAAGUAAUCAAAAAUGAAGGAGGCCACUUUUCCGAAGUGACUUUGAAAAAACUUUUUCCCCAAAUAGAAGGAAGAGAAAAUGUUAAAAUCAUUUCAGUACUUUCCAAAAAUGUCAGGACAUAAUUGUAGAACUGUGAUCCUCACAUCCACUGAACCACACACACACAGAAGUUGCUCACUUCCACCUGACACACUUCAGACCCACCACCAAUGAUCCCCAUAGUCAGUAAGCAAUGCUUUUGAGUUUUCGCUAGCAUGAAAUUGUACAUACCUCAAUAAGCGAACCAUGCUUUGUGCUAAGAUUCCUUACUAUAAAAUUUAUAAGUUUGAUGUAACUGCUUUUGCAUAAUAUCUUCAUGCAAAUAUAGUGAAUUGAGACACUCAAUUUUUUAAAAUCCUAACAAAAAAAAAAAAGAAAGAAAGAAAGAAAGAAAAAGAAAAAAGAGGGAUGUUCAUUCUGAAACAAUCAACUUUCAAUGGAUGAGGUGAAUAUGGCUUUACCCACUUGUGUUCCUAGGAAAUGUCUGCUGCCCAGAAAAGUACUACCUAGUCCUAUAAUUGUUUUGAUUACCUAGUAACUGCAUUGAGUACCUAUGUUUAAAAUAUUGUUAGGUAAAUAUUAAAGUAAAUCUUCAUACUUAACAUAUGCUUUACAUUUUAUCUGCACAUAGUAAAUAUGUACCACAAGUACAACAAGUAGAUUAAGCAAAUUUCAAGGGAACUUUAUUUUUGUACACUUAAAUACAAGAAAUUUGGUAUACAUGUUUAUACAC
This 2142-nucleotide long non-coding RNA is filed under the name Elaeis guineensis (African oil palm). RNAcentral describes it as "long non-coding RNA (EGUI_LNC071746)". Lineage: Eukaryota; Viridiplantae; Streptophyta; Magnoliopsida; Arecales; Arecaceae. The record is from RNAcentral.